CACUCAGUGAUAAAAAUAUGGGAUUCUGGGUAAUCCACAGCGGAUCUAUGGAGAAUUGCUGUUGAUGUAUGGUGACUCCACGUUUGGAUGAACGGACCAACAGGACUGCCAUGGGAAAGUCCCUUGACGGGUACCAGGAAUGGUGGAAGGACAAUCUGAAGGUAAUUAUCUUUUCACACAACACAGCAGUGUUUUUUGAACCAGAUCAGAACGCCUUCGAAGACCACCUUCAGGCACGGACUGAGAAGGAUGUGGAGGUUUUUGACCAGGUGAGACUGAACAUGGACAGGGCGCAUGAGGAGGAUCUACCUGAGAAGAAUCAAGGGGACCAAGUGCUUUGACAUCUGGGUGAAUGACUUGGCUUGGAAGAAAGGAAGACUAGACCCGGGAAAACUUGGUGCUCUUUCGCUCCUAGCUGGGGUCAACAUCCGUUAAGGACAUAGGGAUUCUGCCAAACACCCAGACAUGGAUCCUCCUGAUGUCCCCCAUUACCAACCACCCUCCAACUUUUCAUCAGCAACUGUUAUUGUCAAGUUGUCAUUAUUUGCUUAGAAAGAGCAAGACAACUAUCAUACUGGGCACAUAAUGUGAGCUGCACAGAUUAGCUAAAAACACUAGCACUGCAAACACUCAGAACAAAGAGGGAAGCAGUGCCUGGACUACAGUUUCCCUCUUAGAGUCCACUGCCUGUUGAAAAACAAGUGACCGGCAGAACCUCCCAUCCACACAAGACCCACCUCCUCUCUAUUCCACACCAGAAUUCUGUAUUUCAGUCUGAUUGCCAAGUGAGUGUACAAAAAAAUCUGAAAGUAAAUUGACACAUCUACCAAACAAAUAUCAAUGGUUAUGUAUUUAAAUGUAAAAUAUUGCUAGAUUGAUUUUCA
Long non-coding RNA from Oncorhynchus nerka (sockeye salmon), 884 nucleotides. RefSeq lists it as uncharacterized. NCBI's taxonomy places the organism in Eukaryota, Metazoa, Chordata, Actinopteri, Salmoniformes, Salmonidae. The record is from RefSeq and is a predicted model, not a curated record. The transcript has 4 exons.